GCUAGGAUGUAGGUUACAAUAGCGUUCUUCUGUCAAGUGUUUUAAAGCUGUAGUACAGACACUCUUGACCUUUUAUAUAGAUAUAUUUUUAACUGUUAGGACAGAGGAGGCUGAUUUUUUUUUUUUUUUUUUUUUUUGAUGAAAAGUGAAGCCAAAGACUGCUUGGGUUUCACAUGUCCUGCUUUAUAUGCAGCAACUGAUCAGUGUGUUUACAUUUUUCUUCUCCCCCCCACAUACAGAAUAAAUAAACUUUCCUACAUUCACAGCAUUUCUUAAUUGUUGGUGUAUCUCACUAAACUUGCAUGUGAAUGUAAAUGUGCAAUAUAAGCACGUGAAGCAAGCAGCUCCCUCUUUAUAACUAAUCCCAUUCUUUCAGUGGGCACUGGUUUAUUCUCAGAUUUAAUUCUAGAUAGAAUCCUUAGAGUUUGGAGAGAGGGAGGAAAAAAGCUGCCAGUGAGGUUAUUCAGAGUGGAAUAUGUGUUAUUGCCACCACUGCAUAUUUUACUAUCAGAAAAACACCAGUGAUCCUAAGGAGGUGUUGGUGCCAAGAGUUUGAGGUUUUCCUUGAGAAGGAAGCAUAUGUGCAACAACCCCACCAACCACGUAGGGAGGAGAGGAGAUUGAAUGCAACCGUCCAAAAUGUGUAAGUAAAGGAGUAGAGUAUAAUUACUGACACUUUUUGAUGUAGUUUAAUUUGCUACAUUCAAUAAUUACUGUCAGCUCUGUAGAUCUGAUAUGUAUAUGUCCACAUAGCUCAGUGAAAAAAUACCAUGAUCAAUAAUUUGUUUGCCAAUACUUUGUAAUGCUGUAGACUACCUUCAGUCCUAAGGUGGUGCCGUGUCAUUUAGCUGUACGGCACGGAGGGCUGACAGGAAUUUGAAAAUUAAAAUCGUUUACAGAAAUAUGCACAAUUUGUUCUAUGACGUUCUUUUGAAGGUAAAGAGAACUGUACUGACAGACUUUCUGAGUGAUACUGCUCUAUGCUGUAUUUUUAAUCUAUUCACAAUGAAUAAAUAAAAAUCUGUAUUUUUAAAAAAUGUGAGAAUAAAUCUUGAGGCUUGGCCUGGUGAAAUUGAUCCGGGUGCGGUGUUUCUGAAUGGGUGAGGACGACAUGAAGGAAUCCCUUCUUUGUACACCAGACAUGCAAAAUACCAAUUCCUGCAUCGCUGCCCGCCCCCCCCGCAUCGUCUGCUUUCGUUCUGGCUGGUCACUGAAGUUGGUCUUCUGUCACUUUUCUCAGUAGAGUUUUUAAAAUGUUCCGAAGUUCCAUUUUACUCCCAGAAGCUUCCAGAAGUCGUGCUGUUCUUCCUGUUCAGUCCCUGUUUCCUUGCACUUCCAAC
This 1340-nucleotide long non-coding RNA is filed under the name Gallus gallus (chicken). Lineage: Eukaryota; Metazoa; Chordata; Aves; Galliformes; Phasianidae. The record is from RNAcentral.